RNAcentral lists this ribosomal RNA (414 nucleotides) under uncultured bacterium. RNAcentral's name for it is "bacterial SSU rRNA". It matches the Rfam family "Bacterial small subunit ribosomal RNA", at positions 29 to 490 of the family's 1533-position model. The record is from RNAcentral.
AGCGAACGCUGGCGGCAGGCUUAACACAUGCAAGUCGAGCGCCCGUAGCAAUACGGGAGCGGCAGACGGGUGAGUAACACGUGGGAACAUGCCCUUUGGUUCGGAAUAACUCAGGGAAACUUGAGCUAAUACCGGAUAAGCCCUUACGGGAAAGAUUUAUCGCCAAAGGAUUGGCCCGCGUCUGAUUAGCUAGUUGGUGGGGUAAUGGCCCACCAAGGCUACGAUCAGUAGCUGCUGAGAGGAUGAUCAGCCACAUUGGGACUGAGACACGGCCCAAACUCCUACGGGAGGCAGCAGUGGGGAAUAUUGGACAAUGGGGGAAACCCUGAUCCAGCCAUGCCGCGUGAGUGAUGAAGGCCCUAGGGUUGUAAAGCUCUUUCGGUGGGAAGAUAAUGACGGUACCCACAGAAGAAG